GUUUUCAGGAUAUAUUAAAGAAAGCUCAGCUUCUUUUCCCUCGUGCUAUGGUUGUUGAUUCAAUACAAACUCUUGAUCCUAUUAACACUUGGUCAGAGCAAAAGGUUAAGUUGAAUGAUGCUGAGCACAAGUUAAAAGAUCAAGGACGUCAACUAAAGGUUCAACAGAAAAGAAUUGGUUCUACUAAAAAGACAAUUCAUGCAUGUAUAAAAAGUUGAAUCUCCCACUUCCUUCAACCUUGUCUGAUCCUGCAGAAGAUGAGCUUGGGACAGGCUCUAGUGAUGAUGAGGAUGAUAACAUAAGUGAUUGAUGUCAGGAGUAUAUGUUUUUUCUGAUUUAGAUUAAGAAAU
Arachis ipaensis is the source of this 350-nucleotide non-coding RNA. NCBI's taxonomy places the organism in Eukaryota, Viridiplantae, Streptophyta, Magnoliopsida, Fabales, Fabaceae. The record is from RefSeq and is a predicted model, not a curated record.